UAUCUGAAGAAUGCCAGAGUUCAUCUUGUUGGAGGAUUAAGGAAUCUUUCCACAAUUCUUGAGAACUUGUAUAAGCAAGGAGUCCUCCAUGAUGAAGAGGUCAGCAAAAUAAAGGCAGAGAAAGAUGACUAUGAUAGAACCAGAGCAAUACUGUGUUCAGUCACUAAAAAAGGUGAAGCAGCCUGCUAUCAGUUACUGAAGAUUAUUUACCAAACGAGGAAAAGAACCUUGGAGAGGCCCGAUCCUGUCUUCAAGAACAGUCAUGAAGCUUCAACUGAGGCUAAAAAGUUUGACCUGAACCACUGGAUCAGCUGCUUUUCUUUCACAGAAGAUGUAGAAAUGGAUGCAAAUUACAUGCAAGGGCCAAGGCCGUGCCACAGAUAUCAAUCAAAGUUGAAAUCAAAAG
Long non-coding RNA from Fundulus heteroclitus (mummichog), 406 nucleotides. RefSeq lists it as uncharacterized. The transcript has 2 exons. The record is from RefSeq and is a predicted model, not a curated record. NCBI's taxonomy places the organism in Eukaryota, Metazoa, Chordata, Actinopteri, Cyprinodontiformes, Fundulidae.